AUUGAACGCUGGCGGCAUGCUCUACACAUGCAAGUCGAACGGUAACAGGCCGCAAGGUGCUGACGAGUGGUGAACGGGUGAGUAAUGCAUCGGAACGUGCCCAGUCGUGGGGGAUAACUACUCGAAAGAGUAGCUAAUACCGCAUACGAUCUAUGGAUGAAAGCGGGGGACCGUAAGGCCUCGCGCGAUUGGAGCGGCCGAUGUCAGAUUAGGUAGUUGGUGGGGUAAAGGCUCACCAAGCCAACGAUCUGUAGCUGGUCUGAGAGGACGACCAGCCACACUGGGACUGAGACACGGCCCAGACUCCUACGGGAGGCAGCAGUGGGGAAUUUUGGACAAUGGGCGCAAGCCUGAUCCAGCAAUGCCGCGUGCAGGAAGAAGGCCUUCGGGUUGUAAACUGCUUUUGUACGGAACGAAACGGCUCUGGUUAAUACCCGGGGCUAAUGACGGUACCGUAAGAAUAAGCACCGGCUAACUACGUG
RNAcentral lists this ribosomal RNA (482 nucleotides) under uncultured bacterium. RNAcentral describes it as "partial 16S ribosomal RNA". It matches the Rfam family "Bacterial small subunit ribosomal RNA", at positions 30 to 507 of the family's 1533-position model. The record is from RNAcentral.